Molecule: long non-coding RNA, 1313 nt
Filed under: Cyanoderma ruficeps (rufous-capped babbler)
Lineage: Eukaryota; Metazoa; Chordata; Aves; Passeriformes; Timaliidae
Description: lncRNA (ENSCRFG00000011659.1)
Source: RNAcentral
CUUGGGUGCAUUUUUCAUCUAACAAAAUUAAUUUGAUUUACUUGAUCGAUUUAAGUAGAUCGUGAUUCAAAUGGUUUUGGCAGAUGAAGGUUAGAGCCCAAUUCUUUGCCUUGGAACAGAGCAAGUGGUAUUCCUUCGGGGCAAACACAGGGUCACUGAAGCGCCUGGGGUUACGGGCGCCGGGAAGAUCCGCCGCGCCUUGUGCUGUUCCCAAUCCGCAAACCUCCACGGACGUGAGCGCGGCUACUUCCCGGCCAGAGGGCUAAACCAGCGCAGGAUCGGGGUCCCUAACAGCAUUCUCCCGGCUGACCAGCAGCGAAACCUUAGUCUGACCCCCUCGUUGUUGGUUUUCUACACUCUUUAACGUUUUUGCUCCGUGACGCUACAGAAAUGCAGCGGUCUGGUUUCGCAGGGGUGCUGGAAGCCAGCAGCGGAUGGACCGUGUCUGUCUCCGCUUGUCGCCCUGCAAAUUCGGAGGGACCGAGGGAAACGCUCCAGGAGAUCUGCGCCCUGGGGCGACAGGGUCCCCUGGCCAGCGAGAGACACUCGGCAGGAAGGAAUGAGCUGCUGAGAUGUUUCUCUCACAUCUCGCCCCAAGCAAAGUGUUUCAAAAGUCAGCUAAAUCAUGAAGCUGAUGACUCCGAGGAGAUGUCAACCUCUGCCCUCCGCUGUCUCAGAGGCACAAGCGGGAACGCUGCUGGAAGCUUCCUGACCAAUUUGCAUCUGGCUUAUCAGCAAGACACUGCAUCAGAACGCCCCAGCUAAGAGGUGUAAGAAUAACGUGUUUGAAGCAGAAAUGUCUCUGAGACCACUAAUGACUGUCUGCCGGGUCCCUCAUCAGGGUGGAUCGUCAGGAGCGAAUCCAGUUUGCUGCAUUUCCACACCCAGCCCGGUACCCACAACUGCUCCUCGCUGGAGUGCGCCCCAUAUCCUCUGCGCUGCUUCUUCUCUCUGUGCUGUCGGAUGGAACGUACAUAGAAGCUUAUCAGAGUGCUUUUUGUAGGCUCUGCCAACUACCCAGCACUGCACCGUCCACUCAUUUAUCCUCAGCAUCUCCGUGACUGCUGGCAAAGCCUACCGUGCCUUCGAGGGCCGCGGUCCAAAAGGUGCCUGCCUCAUCUGCACGUUAUAAAUGGCACCACGGCAGCUCCCGGCGGGGCCUCGCUGAGCGCCCCAGCGGCCACCGCCCUUGCCCGACACGUCCGGGCCAACACGUCCGAGGCCACGCGGGUCACGCCGAGGCACUGCCGGCCACUGCCUCACCCGGCAGCAGCAGGGCCGGGCCAGGCAGCACAGCCCGCUCCGGGGCGUGG